GAGGAAAAGAAACCAACAGGGAUUGCCUUAGUAGCGGCGAGUGAAGCGGCAAAAGCUCAAAUUUGAAAUCUGGCGCCUUCGGUGUCCGAGUUGUAAUUUGAAGAUUGUAACCUUGGGGUUGGCUCUUGUCUAUGUUUCUUGGAACAGGACGUCACAGAGGGUGAGAAUCCCGUGCGAUGAGAUGCCCAAUUCUAUGUAAGGUGCUUUCGAAGAGUCGAGUUGUUUGGGAAUGCAGCUCUAAGUGGGUGGUAAAUUCCAUCUAAAGCUAAAUAUUGGCGAGAGACCGAUAGCGAACAAGUACAGUGAUGGAAAGAUGAAAAGAACUUUGAAAAGAGAGUGAAAAAGUACGUGAAAUUGUUGAAAGGGAAGGGUUUGAGAUCAGACUCGAUAUUUUGUGAGCCUUGCCUUCGUGGCGGGGUGACCCGCAGCUUAUCGGGCCAGCAUCGGUUUGGGCGGUAGGAUAAUGGCGUAGGAAUGUGACUUUACUUCGGUGAAGUGUUAUAGCCUGCGUUGAUGCUGCCUGCCUAGACCGAGGACUGCGAUUUA
RNAcentral lists this ribosomal RNA (546 nucleotides) under Meyerozyma guilliermondii. RNAcentral's name for it is "eukaryotic LSU rRNA". It matches the Rfam family "Eukaryotic large subunit ribosomal RNA", at positions 53 to 604 of the family's 3401-position model. The record is from RNAcentral. Lineage: Eukaryota; Fungi; Ascomycota; Pichiomycetes; Serinales; Debaryomycetaceae.